GUCUCCUCUGUUUCCACCUGCAGGAAACAGAGGUGCUGCAGCCCUAGCUGUUGUAGCUCUCUCUCUUUCCUCUCCCUCUUCCCUCUCUUCUUCUUCUUCUUUUCUUCUCUUCUCCCUCUUCUUCCUCUCUUCUUUUCCCCCCUCUUCUUCUUUUCUUCUCUUCUUCCUCUACUUCUCCCCACGCCCCACCGCUCCUCUCUCUGUUUCUCGAGAAAUAGAGAGCGUGGGAGGCAGUGGGAUAAAACCGAAAUUUUUGGUUUUCUCUUUUUAUUUUUUUUUUUGUAACUUAACAGUUUAGUCCUUGAAAUUUCUAUAUUUACAUAUAGGUCUUUCGAUUUAUAAAUAAAUCUUUAUUAAUAAUUUUUAAAAGUGAGGGAUAUUACACUCUCCCCCCCUUAAAAGAAAAUUUAGUCCUCUAAAUUGGUCAUAGCUCAAUCGAUGAAAAGAUAAUGAAUAUGAUUUCUUUAUUUCCUCCUCCUGCUCUCAAAUAGUUUCAUCAAUACAAUAUAAUUACACAAUUAUCCAAGAGUGACCAAAAUAUUCUCCUCCUUGAUCCUCAAUAGAUGGUAACCCGACCUUCAAUCAAUCUUUGAAAAUACUUGUGCACCCUACAGUUGACCAAACAAAUAAUCAAUUCUGGGUAUGGGAUACUUGCUUUUGAUGGUCACCCGAUUCAAUUGUCUAAAAUUAUUAUAAAGUCUCAAUGUUUCAUCCAUCUUUAUAACUAACACCGGAGCACCCCAUGAUGAAAUAUUAAGCCAAAUAAAAUUCUUAUUUAAUAGUCCUUGUAGUUGCUUUUCUAAUUCCACUUACUCAAAUGAUGUCAUUCUGUAGAGAGGCUUAGAUAUUGAGAUUGUCCCAAAGACCAAAUCAAAAGCAAAGUCACGUUUUAGAGGUAAUUUGGGCAAAUCAUCCUGGGAUAAUUAGGCGAAGAUAAAUCAUGUCCAAUACUCUCAAAAUAAAAGAUCGGCUGAUUAAAUAUGCAAAAAGUGAUCAUUUGUUAUAUAACAAUCUAUACUGGUAUGAUAAGAAGAUAGCCAAUCCAUACCAAGUAUAAUAUCAAAACUCUAAAUCUCUAGGAGAACUAAAUCAGCAAAAAGUUCAAGUUCUCCAAUAAAAUCAGACAAGAGACUAUAUUCAAGUUCGUUAUCAAAGAAUCUCCAAUGAUUAUAUUUACAUAUAUUACAUAAUACAGUGGUUUAGGGUGAAUGCCCAAGUGAUCUACAUUUGCUUUUGGGUGCCUCAAAAAUAGAUCUACAUUGUUUAUCAUGUUGCAUAGAAUUUAUCAUGGUUCCUUUAGGAAUCCAAAUUAAUUUGUCUGGACUAAUUUUCUUGAAUGGACAAUAAUACGUUUUGUGUCCAAGUUUGCAACAAAAGUUGCAUUUGCUUUGGUGUCGAACAUGUAAGAUGGGGCCUUUUAUGAAGGUGGUUGGAUUUUAGUGAGGACUUCUCACAAAUCCGAUUCCACUUCUUUUGGGAAUGUGACCCUUGUUUGCAAGGAUCAUGUUCAAUGACUUGCUACCAACCUCGAAUUUCUUCAAGGUGUCCUUAAGUAGCAAGUUUUCCUUUUGAAGAGUUUCUAGAUCAUGGCAUUUUGUGCAUGAACUUAAACUAUCAUGAUAUUCAGUUUUUAACUUAUCAAAAUUACAAGUAAGACUAUCAUGCACCUUUUUUAGCAAUUUAUAUUUUCUACUAAUAAUCUUGCAUUCAUCAAAUAAGUCAUGGAACGCAUUUAAUAAUUCAUCAAAUGAUAAAUCUGCAUCUAUGAAAUUCGUUACCUCCUCUCCGAUGGCCAUUAAGGCGUAAUGAGCAACUUGCUCGGUGUUGGACUCCUCUUCUUCUGACGCGCUUGAGUCAUCCCAUGUUGCUUUGAGCGCCUUCUUCUUUGAUGUUCUCUUCUUGACUUGGGGACAAUCACUCUUGUAGUGUCCCGGCUUCUUGCACUCAUAGCAAAUAACUUGGUCCUUCUUGGGUUCAAAUUUAUUUUUUGUUUCAUUCUUAAACUUGUUUCUUUUAAUGAAUUUUUUAAAUUUUCUUAUUAGAAGUGCCAAGUCAUCAUCACAGUCCUCAUCACUUGAGUUUUCUCUCAAGUGGUCUUCUGAAAUUUUAAGUGACAUAUCCUUCCUGUUCUUUGGAAGGAUGUCUUCUUGCUCUUCAUGAGCUUUGCAAGUCAUCUCGUAGGUUAUUAAUGACCCGAUUAGUUCUUGAAGAGGGAAGUUGUUUAGAUCUUUCGCCUCUUGAAUAGUAGUGACUUUAGGAUCCCAACUCUUAGGAAGGGAUCUUAGAAUCUUAUUUACGAGCUCAAAAUCUGAAAAACUUUUUCCGAGUCCUUUUAGACAGUUGACGACAUCCGUGAAACGGGUAAACAUGUCGCCAAUAGUCUCACUCGGUUUCAUUCGGAAAAGUUCGAAAGAGUGUAACAAAAGGUUGAUUUUUGACUCUUUCACUCUACUUGUACCUUCGUGAGUCACUUCGAGUGUGUGCCAAAUAUCAAAUGCGGUUUCACAAACCGAAACACGGUUGAACUCGUUUUUAUCAAGUGCACAAAAUAAGGCAUUCAUAGCCUUUGCAUUAAGAGCGAAAGCCUUCUUCUCCAAUUCAUUCCAAUCGAUCAUUGGAAGAGAAGACUUCGAAAAUCCAUUUUCGACAAUAUUCCAAAGUUCAAAAUCCAUAGAAACAAGAAAGAUCCUCAUUCGGGUCUUCCAAUAGGUGUAGUCCGUCCCAUUGAACAUGGGUGGACGUGUAAUAGAGUAGCCCUCUUAGUUUCCGGCGUAUGCCAUCUCUCUUGGGUUUUAAUCCGUUUGCGAGUUAACCCCACUCUGAUACCAAUUAUUUGGAUCAAGAGCACUAAGAGGGGGGGGGGGUGAAUUAGUGUAGCGGAAAUCUUUCGACGAUAAAAAUGUUUGAACGAUAAAAAAUGAUUUCGAUGUGAAAGCCGAUUCUAAGAUUACUUUAACUUAAGAUCAAGCGAGAUGAUGUUAAAGUCAAUCUAUGAAGGUAGUUUGCAGUUAUGAUGAAAAGCAGAAUAUGAGCGCAAACUGAAAUAUGACGUUCGUACGAAGAAACUGAUUUACGUCUAAAUGCUGAUUCGUAAAUCACUUGAUUAGGUGAGAUGCAGCUUAAGCAAGGAUAUUAAGGUAGUUUGCAGUUAAGAUAGAAAUCAAAAUGUAAACGCAAACUGAAAUAUGAUGAUCGUACGAAAAAAUAGAUUUACGUCUAAACGCUAAUUCGGAAAAUACAAAGCUAAAACCCGAUCGUAUACGCACAGAAAGCAGUAAGGAGGUUUGCAGUAAAGAUAAAAUGCUCAAAGUAAAUGCAAACCGAGAUUUAGAGUGGUUCGGUCAAUCUUGACCUACUCAACUUUUGGCUUCCUCCACCGACGAGGUCACCGACGUCAACUAGAGGCCUUCCUUCAAUAGGCGAAGGCCAACCACCCUUUUAUAGUUUCACUCCUUUUGACGGGCUUAGGAGACAACCCUUACAAAAUUUUCUCUCCUCUCCUCUCUUUACAUCUCAGAACUUGGAAGAAAAGAGGGAGACGGACUUUUGGCCUUUACAACAAUUUUGAGCUCUAAAAAUCACAUAACAAGAUCAAGAUUUCGGUGUGUAUUCUCUAUGCUUUUAGUGCUGAAUGGGUUGGGUAUUUAUAGGCCCCAACCCAGUUCAAAUUUGGAGCUCAAAACUAUCAAUUCCCGGAAUUCCGGGAUCAGGCAGUUGCACCUCCUGACUGGAGCGGUUGCACCACGUCGAUCAUCUGAUGAACCCUCGGUGAUACUCCUACGGACUUCCGGCAAACUCCUGGACUUGCGAUGAUCCACUUGGCGAGUUCCGACGAGCUUCUUUGGCAAGCUCAUGGACUUCUGUCGAACUCUCGAACUCCCAGAUCAGACCCUAGCAUAGUGCAUCUGAGGCGUAGCCCAGUGGUGGCUCCACGUCGUGACGAGUCAUGGACUUCUCGGAUUUGUUCCCGCAGAACCUCCGACGACUGUCUGAACUUCUGUCGAACUCUCGAACUCCCAGAUCAGACCCUAGCAUAGUGCAUCUGAGGCGUAGCCCAGUGGUGGCUCCACGUCGUGACGAGUCAUCUGACUCAGUCUACGGGUAGCCCUUUCCUACUCGAGCCCCCUAACUGGCCUAUCAAUUUCGUUUGGUCUAAACCACUAACCAAAAUGCUUAAGUUGAAGUUGAUAGUAGUACACUCAUCAGACCCUUAUAAGCCAAUCUUAAUCUUGCCCACUUUCGAUGUGGGACUAAUCAAGGGUGUUACAGCCACGGCAACAGUCGCNNNNNNNNNNNNNNNNNNNNNNNNNNNNNNNNNNNNNNNNNNNNNNNNNNNNNNNNNNNNNNNNNNNNNNNNNNNNNNNNNNNNNNNNNNNNNNNNNNNNNNNNNNNNNNNNNNNNNNNNNNNNNNNNNNNNNNNNNNNNNNNNNNNNNNNNNNNNNNNCCUUCUCUUCUAGCUGCAGCUGCCACUGCCGCAGCUGCCUCCCCUUCUCCUCUUCCUCUCUUCUUCCCUUUUCCUUUCUCUUCUUCUUCCUUUCCCUCUCUUCUUUUCCAGCUGCACUACUGCAGUCGCAGCCUCAGCCACAACCGCAGCCUCUUCUUCCUCCCCUGCUCAUCUUCCUCUCCUUCUUCUCUUCCAACUACAGCUGCCAUCGCCGGAGCCGCAGCCCCUUCGUCCCCUUCUCUCCUUCCUCUCCUUCCCUUCUUCCUUCAUCUUCCACUUUCCCUGCCACAGCUGCAGCUACCACAGCUGCAACCGCAGCUACUUCUUUCCCUUCUCCUCUUCCUUCUCCUUCCUUUCUUCUACUUCUCUUCUUCUCCUUCCUCCCCUUCUUCUCCCCGACGAACAGCACCUCCUCUCCUUUGUUUCCUCAGGAAAUAGAGGUGCCGCCUCUUCACCCGCUUCAACUUCUUCUCUUCCUCUUCUUCUUCUUCUCCUUCUUCUCCUUCUUCUUCUCCUCUUCUUCCCUUCUCCUACCCGACACCCCACACCUUCUCACUGCAGCCCAUGCCGUAGCCAUCCUUCUUUUUUUUUUCUUUUUCUCUUCUUGUUUUUCCUCUUUUUCUUCUCCUCCUCCCCAACGCCCCACACCUCGUCUCCAUGUUUCUGCCUACAGGAAACAGAGGUGCUGCAACCCUAGCUGCUGCAGCUAUCUCUCUUUCCUCUCCCUCUUCCCUCUCUUCUUCUUCUUCUUUUCUUCUCUUCUCCCUCUUCUUCCUCUCUUCUUUUCCCCCCUCUUCUUCUUUUCUUCUCUUCUUCCUCUACUUCUCCCCAUGCCCCACCGCUCCUCUCUCUGUUUCUCGAGAAAUAGAGAGAGUGGGAGGCGGUGGGAUAAAACCAAAAUUUUUUAUUUUCUCUUUUUAUUUAUUUUUGUAACUUAACAGUUUAGUCCUUGAAAUUUUUAUAUUUACAUAUAGGUCCUCCGAUUUAUAAAUAAAUCUUUAUUAAUAAUUUUUAAAAGUGAGG
Molecule: long non-coding RNA, 5467 nt
Filed under: Musa acuminata (dwarf banana)
Lineage: Eukaryota; Viridiplantae; Streptophyta; Magnoliopsida; Zingiberales; Musaceae
Description: long non-coding RNA (MACU_LNC008746)
Source: RNAcentral